CUAAGGUCCCAAAGUCAUGGUUAAGUGGGAAACGAUGUGGGAAGGCCCAGACAGCCAGGAUGUUGGCUUAGAAGCAGCCAUCAUUUAAAGAAAGCGUAAUAGCUCACUGGUCGAGUCGGCCUGCGCGGAAGAUGUAACGGGGCUAAACCAUGCACCGAAGCUGCGGCAGCGACGCUGAUGCGUUGUUGGGUAGGGGAGCGUUCUGUAAGCCUGCGAAGGUGUGCUGUGAGGCAUGCUGGAGGUAUCAGAAGUGCGAAUGCUGACAUAAGUAACGAUAAAGCGGGUGAAAAGCCCGCUCGCCGGAAGACCAAGGGUUCCUGUCCAACGUUAAUCGGGGCAGGGUGAGUCGACCCCUAAGGCGAGGCCGAAAGGCGUAGUCGAUGGGAAACAGGUUAAUAUUCCUGUACUUGGUGUUACUGCGAAGGGGGGACGGAGAAGGCUAUGUUGGCCGGGCGACGGUUGUCCCGGUUUAAGCGUGUAGGCUGGUUUUCCAGGCAAAUCCGGAAA
Molecule: ribosomal RNA, 507 nt
Filed under: Escherichia coli
Lineage: Bacteria; Pseudomonadati; Pseudomonadota; Gammaproteobacteria; Enterobacterales; Enterobacteriaceae
Description: bacterial LSU rRNA
Rfam family: Bacterial large subunit ribosomal RNA
Source: RNAcentral